This 253-nucleotide ribosomal RNA is filed under the name uncultured bacterium. RNAcentral's name for it is "partial 16S ribosomal RNA". It matches the Rfam family "Bacterial small subunit ribosomal RNA", at positions 524 to 776 of the family's 1533-position model. The record is from RNAcentral.
UACAGAGGUCUCAAGCGUUGUUCGGAUUCAUUGGGCGUAAAGGGUGCGUAGGCGGCGCGGUAAGUCGGGUGUGAAAUCUCGGGGCUUAACUCCGAAACUGCAUUCGAUACUGCCGUGCUUGAGGACUGGAGAGGAGACUGGAAUUUACGGUGUAGCGGUGAAAUGCGUAGAUAUCUGGAGGAACACCGGUGGCGAAGGCGGCAUCCUGGACCGGUAUUGACGCUGAGGCGCGAAAGCCAGGGGAGCAAACGGG